This 1028-nucleotide ribosomal RNA is filed under the name Umbelopsis nana. RNAcentral describes it as "eukaryotic LSU rRNA". It matches the Rfam family "Eukaryotic large subunit ribosomal RNA", at positions 1 to 941 of the family's 3401-position model. RNAcentral also lists the same sequence under 1 other name. The record is from RNAcentral. Lineage: Eukaryota; Fungi; Mucoromycota; Umbelopsidomycetes; Umbelopsidales; Umbelopsidaceae.
CAAAUUUUGAUCUGAAAUCAGGUAGGGCUACCCGCUGAACUUAAGCAUAUCAAUAAGCGGAGGAAAAGAAACUAACAAGGAUUCCCCUAGUAACGGCGAGUGAAGCGGGAAGAGCUCAAAUUUAAAAUCUGGUUUGCUUUGCAAAUCCGAGUUGUAGUCUGAAGAAACGUUUUCCAUGAAAGCUGAGGCACAAGUCCUUUGGAACAGGGCAUCAUAGAGGGUGAGAAUCCCGUCCAUGGUCUCAAGCCUUUCAUUUUGUGAUACGUUUUCUAAGAGUCAGGUUGUUUGGGAAUGCAGCCUAAAAUGGGUGGUAAAUUUCAUCUAAAGCUAAAUAUUGGCGAGAGACCGAUAGCGAACAAGUACCGUGAGGGAAAGAUGAAAAGAACUUUGAAAAGAGAGUUAAAAAGUACGUGAAAUUGUUGAAAGGGAACCGUUUGAAGCCAGUCUUGCUUGCUUGUGAUCAAUCUUUGCUUCGGCUUGGAUGCACUCUCAGGUUAUGCAGGUCAACGUCAGUUUGAGAGGUGGGAAAAAAGCUUGAGGAAUGUGGCCUUCGGGUGUUAUAGCCUCUUGCUAAAUACCAUCUUUUGGACUGAGGCUCGCAGCAAAAAUGUGGGCAGGUUUGCGUUUGAGGUGAUACAUUAUUAAGACAGCUUGCUGACUUAGUUUUGUCUAUCUUCACUGUAAGCUUCGCUUCUAAUUUGCUUAGGUCGUUGACAUAAUGGCUUUAAAUGACCCGUCUUGAAACACGGACCAAGGAGUCUAACAUAUAUGCGAGUAUUUGGGUGGCAAACCCACAUGCGCAAUGAAAGUGAAAUUAGGUGCCAAACUCUCACGAGUGGCAGCAUCGGCCGGCUCUGACGUUUCUAACUGACGAGUCUGAGCAGAAGCAUACAUGUUGGGACCCGAAAGAUGGUGAACUAUGCCUGAAUAGGGUGAAGCCAGAGGAAACUCUGGUGGAGGCUCGUAGCGAUUCUGACGUGCAAAUCGAUCGUCAAAUUUGGGUAUAGGGGCGAAAGACUAAUCGAACC